This 540-nucleotide ribosomal RNA is filed under the name uncultured bacterium. Its description in RNAcentral is "bacterial SSU rRNA". It matches the Rfam family "Bacterial small subunit ribosomal RNA", at positions 777 to 1319 of the family's 1533-position model. The record is from RNAcentral.
AAUAGAUACCCGGUAGUCCAUACCGUAAACGUUGGCACUAGGUGUGGGGUCCAUUCCACGGAUUCCGUGCCGCAGCAAACGCAUUAAGUGCCCCGCCUGGGGAGUACGGCCGCAAGGCUAAAACUCAAAGAAAUUGACGGGGGCCCGCACAAGCGGCGGAGCAUGCGGAUUAAUUCGAUGCAACGCGAAGAACCUUACCAAGGCUUGACAUACACCGGAAACGUGCAGAGAUGUGCGCCCCGCAAGGUCGGUGUACAGGUGGUGCAUGGUUGUCGUCAGCUCGUGUCGUGAGAUGUUGGGUUAAGUCCCGCAACGAGCGCAACCCUCGUCCCAUGUUGCCAGCGGGUUAUGCCGGGGACUCAUGGGAGACUGCCGGGGUCAACUCGGAGGAAGGUGGGGAUGACGUCAAAUCAUCAUGCCCCUUAUGUCUUGGGCUUCACGCAUGCUACAAUGGCCGGUACAAAGGGCUGCGAAACCGCGAGGUGGAGCGAACCCCAAAAAGCCGGUCUCAGUUCGGAUUGGGGUCUGCAACUCGACCCA